Ursus americanus (American black bear) is the source of this 107-nucleotide small nuclear RNA. NCBI's taxonomy places the organism in Eukaryota, Metazoa, Chordata, Mammalia, Carnivora, Ursidae. The record is from Ensembl.
GUGCUCACUUUGGCAGCACACACACUAAAAUUGGAAUGAUACAGAGAAGAUUAGCAUGGCCCCUGAGCUAGGAUGCCACGCAAAUUUGAGAAACGUUCCAUAUUAAA